AAAAACAGAUAAGGGCAGACGGUGGAUGCCUUGGCUCUCGGAGGCGAAGAAGGACGUGAUAAGCUGCGAUAAGCUACGGGGAUUGGCACAUACAAAUUGAUCCGUAGAUUUCCGAAUGGGGCAACCCGGCAUGUAGAAGACAUGUCACACUGCAGAGCAGUGAGCGAACGUGGGGAACUGAAACAUCUAAGUACCCAUAGGAGAAGAAAACAAAAGUGAUUCCCUUAGUAGUGGCGAGCGAACGGGGAACAGCCCAAACCAAGUUUGUUUCGGCAAGACUGGGGUUGUAGGACCUCUAUAUAGGAAGACAAGAUUAGGAGAACGGUCUGGAAAGGCCGGCCAUAGAACAUGACAGCUGUGUAUCCGAAAAUCUUCGUUGGACUUAGAGGUAUCCUGAGUAGCGCGGGACACGUGAAAUCCUGUGUGAAUCUGCGGGGCCCAUCCCGUAAGGCUAAAUACUCCCGAGAGACCGAUAGUGAACCAGUACCGUGAGGGAAAGGUGAAAAGAACCUCGAAUAGAGGAGUGAAAUAGACCCUGAACCCGUCUGCCUACAAGCGGUCGGAGCAUCUUUAAGGUGUGACGGCGUGCCUUUUGCAUAAUGAACCUGCGAGUUGUUUUUUUUGGCAAGGUUAAGCAUCAGUAGGUGCGUAGCCGAAGCGAAAGCGAGUCUGAAUAGGGCGCCUAAGUCAAAAGGAGCAGACGCGAAACCAAGUGAUCUACCGAUGGCCAGGCUGAAGGUUGGGUAACACCAACUGGAGGGCCGAAUGGAUAUACGUUGAAAAGUGUUCCAAUGAGCUGUGGGUAGGGGUGAAAGGCUAAUCAAACUUGGAGAUAGCUCGUACUCCCCGAAAUGCAUUUAGGUGCAGCCUGUGGAGUUUCUUACGUGAGGUAGAGCGACUGAUUGGAUGCGAGGCUUUCACCGGCUAUCAAGUCCAGACAAACUCCGAAUGCACGUUAAGUAAUAUCCACGGAGUGAGGGCAUGGGUGCUAAGGUCCAUGUCCGAGAGGAGAAGAAUCCAGACCAUCGGCUAAGGUCCCGAAAUAAUAGCUAAGUUGACCAAACGAAGUCAGAGUGCGAAGACAGCUAGGAUGUUGGCUUGGAAGCAGCCAUUCAUUUAAAGAGUGCGUAACAGCUCACUAGUCGAGUGCUUUGGCGUGGAUAAUAAUCGGGCAUAAGCUAUUUACCGAAGCUGUGGGAUGUGUAAACAUCGGUAGGGGAGCAUUCCAGCGACGCUGAAGGUGAGAGGACAACUCUUGCUGGAGUUUCUGGAAAAGCAAAUGUAGGUAUAAGUAACGAUAAAGGAGGUGAGAAACCUCCUCGCCGAAAGACUAAGGUUUCCUGAUCAACGCUAAUCGGAUCAGGGUUAGUCGGGGCCUAAGGGGCAGCCGAAGGGCGGACCCGAUGGAAGAACCGGUUAAUAUUCCGGUACUAAUUAUGUGAGCGAUGUGGAGACGGAGAUGUGACGGUCCUGCCAACUGACGGAAUAGUUGGUUGAAGGGUGUAGGAGUUGAUCUGAGUAGGCAAAUCCGCUCGGAGAUCCGAACCUGACAGUACUCUGAGUGCUUGCACAAGGAGAUAUGGACAACUGUAACGGUGCUCCCAAGAAAAUCCGCUAAGCAUAUUGCAUGAUUACCCGUACCAUAAACCGACACAGGUGGUUGGGUUGAGUAUACUAAGGCGCUCGAGUGAUUCGCGGUUAAGGAACUAGGCAAAAUAGUCCUGUAACUUCGGAAUAAAGGACGCUCACAGUGAAGGCUGUGAGCCGCAGAGAAUAGGCCCAGGCGACUGUUUAACAAAAACACAUGGCUAUGCUAAAUCGAAAGAUACUGUAUAUAGCCUGACACCUGCCCGGUGCUGGAAGGUUAAGAGGAGAUGUCAUCGCAAGAGAAGCAUUGAAUUGAAGCCCCAGUAAACGGCGGCCGUAACUAUAACGGUCCUAAGGUAGCGAAAUUCCUUGUCGGGUAAGUUCCGACCUGCACGAAUGGUGUAACGAUCUGGGUACUGUCUCAACCGCGAGCUCGGUGAAAUUGUAGUAUCGGUGAAGAUGCCGAUUACCCGCAACGGGACGAAAAGACCCCGUGAACCUUUACUAUAGCUUUGCAUUGGAUUUGGGUAACAAAUGUGUAGGAUAGGCCGGAGACUAAGAAGCGGGUACGCCAGUAUUCGUGGAGUCGCCGUUGAAAUACGGCCCUUUUGUUAUUUGGGUUCUAACUCGCGGAUGCGAGGACAUUGCAUGGUGGGUAGUUUGACUGGGGUGGUCGCCUCCAAAAGAGUAACGGAGGCUUCUAAAGGU
This 2295-nucleotide ribosomal RNA is filed under the name human metagenome. RNAcentral's name for it is "bacterial LSU rRNA". It matches the Rfam family "Bacterial large subunit ribosomal RNA", at positions 1 to 2317 of the family's 2925-position model. The record is from RNAcentral.